AUGCAAGUCGAACGGAAAGGCCCUUCGGGGUACUCGAGUGGCGAACGGGUGAGUAACACGUGGGUGAUCUGCCCUGCACUUCGGGAUAAGCCUGGGAAACUGGGUCUAAUACCGGAUAUACCUCAUGGGCUGCAUGGUUUGUGGGGGAAAGCUUUUGCGGUGUGGGAUGGGCCCGCGGCCUAUCAGCUUGUUGGUGAGGUUAUGGCUUACCAAGGCGACGACGGGUAGCCGGCCUGAGAGGGUGACCGGCCACACUGGGACUGAGAUACGGCCCAGACUCCUACGGGAGGCAGCAGUGGGGAAUAUUGCACAAUGGGCGCAAGCCUGAUGCAGCGACGCCGCGUGAGGGAUGACGGCCUUCGGGUUGUAAACCUCUUUCAGUAGGGACGAAGCGAAAGUGACGGUACCUGCAGAAGAA
This 418-nucleotide ribosomal RNA is filed under the name uncultured Mycobacterium sp. RNAcentral describes it as "bacterial SSU rRNA". It matches the Rfam family "Bacterial small subunit ribosomal RNA", at positions 55 to 489 of the family's 1533-position model. The record is from RNAcentral. Lineage: Bacteria; Bacillati; Actinomycetota; Actinomycetes; Mycobacteriales; Mycobacteriaceae.